ACGUGGAUUACUUCCGCCGAAAGCAACGGUUCUUCUUUCUCGGCCUUUCUUCCCCCUUCUCCUCGCUUGCCCCCCCUCCCGGUCUAUUCUAGUAAAUCUAUAAACCCAACCCCAACACCUGCCGCUUUUCUCUUCUCUUGAGCUCUCUGUCAGGUUUGAGAACGAUUCAAGACUCUGCUUCUAAGAUGGGAGCCAGCCAGUCUAAGACGAGCAACCAGGAUGCCUCUCCCAUGACGGGCAACCAGGAUGCCUCGCCCAUGACGGGCAACCAGGAUGCCUCUUCCAUGACGAGCUACCAGGAUGCCUCUCCCAUGACGGGCAACCAGGAUGCCUCUUCCAUGACGAGCUACCAGGAUGCCUCUCCCAUGUCUCUCCCAAGUAUAGGCGCCGAAGGCGAUGCCAUGGCAGUCCCAACUAAUCCUGUAGACCUGCGCGAGCUCACGUUGCCAUUUAGGCGCUUGAAAAGCGAGAUUAUUCGAUGUUAAUUUAUAGUAAUCAUGUUUGACAUCAAGCUUGAAUAGCUUCUCCCAUCUACAUGUUAACAUCAAGAAUUGCCGCUUUUAGUACUGUUUGAUAAACGUUAACACAACGAAACAAGUCUUACAAUAGGGUCCUCCUCUUUGAUGUGGUGGCUGAUGAUGGAUUUCUGGCCUUCUGGGCCUGGACGGGAAGCGGGACAAGGGGCGCACCGAUGACGCCGAGCAUGAGCUGGAGGAGCUCGGCUCCUCGAUCGGCCGAGAGAAGAGGGUGCAGGACGGUCUACAUGGGAUCGCAUCCACGCCUUCAUGUUGGUGUACAGAGAUUUGUGGCUUCUAGAGUCGCCUCCGGAAGAGAUUGGGACUUCAGGGGACGGUGUCCAGACCAUCUUCUCGGUCCAGGUUUGCGCUUUGCUUCCUCAUGGAAGAAGGACCAGAAGGGAUGGCGAUGGAGACGCUGCAAAUAAGUUUAUAUAUAUAUAUAUAUAUAUAUUCGAUUAAAACGGUAAUUUAUAUAACUAUAAUAUUUUAUCUAGAAAGAAAAUAUCUUCCAUAGAUGCCCAGAAAAAUUCUCCAGAAAUAAGUCUUUUUGGCUUCUUCUUUCUUUUGGCUUCUUUUUCUUCUUUCUUCUCCACUUUUAACUCUCCACUAGUGGACAAGUGGGGCCCUUGCUGACUCGCUCUUCGAUCGUGGCCGCACGCUCUCUUUUCUUUCUUCCUUCCUUCCGCCGACCGGACGAGACAGACUUGGGUGUACUUCAUUUAAAGCGCCCUGAAGCUCGCUGCUUUUGUACGUUGCUUCUGUGUCCGUAAAGUCUUUCGUUUUCGACGUUUGGCCACUGGCGGCGGGUCCCCAACGUAGAAGUACCGAAGCGGCCGGCGUUUGAUCAAGAAUCAAGGGCUUGAUUGGUCUAAUGAUGGUUCCCCAUGCUGUCGGGGCUGUUCGGAUUCUCGCCGACCUCCCGCAAUUUGACGGUUAAUCGUGUGGACCUGCGCGAGCUUACCUCAGGAUUUAGGGCUGUUUCGCUCGCACGAAGCAAUUUUUUUCUAAAAAUAUAAUUUUAAAAAAAAAUUUAUUAAAAAGUGAAUAUAUAAGAAUAUAUUUUAGACAUAUUUGGUUAAACAUGAAAAAGUAAAAGAUUUUUAGAUUGCUUAUAUUUGUUUGACUAUUAAUUUUUCUGAAAAAGUUAUAUGUAAUUUAUAUUAUAUUCUUAAUAAAAAUUAGGUUUUUAAUGCCUCUUUAAUGCUGAAAAGUUUUUUCGAGAAAAAAUAAAGAUAGAGUGAUUUUCGCCUCAUGAAAAAGUAAUUUUUCCAUGUUUCUCAUGGAAAAGACUUUUUCAUAAAAUGUAGGAAUUAUAUUCCUAUGGGAAUACAACUUUUCCAUCUCUCUUCUUUGAAAAUUCUAACCAAAUAAGAGGUAUCUCAUUAUUUUUUUGUUGACCACAUUUUUCUCCUUUUUUUUCCGCGAACCAAACGUGCCAUUAAGCGCUUGAAAAGCGAGAUUAUGGGAUGUUAAUUUAUAUUAAUCAGUAAUUUUAUUUUAUCUGGUUUUUUAUUUUAUUUUCUUUUCAAAUAUAAUAUGGUUCAAUAGCUUGAUGUUUAUUUUUCUGUUUUGAGAUCUAUAUCUAAUUAUAAACUAUGGGGCUCUUGUCAUUCAAAAAACAAAAUAUUAAAUGGCUAGAUGUGUGGUUGUGGGUGCUUUCUUUGAUUAAUUAAAUUAUAGAAGGUUUUUUGCCUCUUUUUUUGUUACUUUUAUAUCUGGCCGCAAGCUAACUCCUUUUUUCCCAAUUUUGUUCUGGGUCCAUGGUUAUUACCAAGGACCCCCUGUGAUGGCACGACCUUUGCGUCCAGCUCCACCACCAGAAAGACAUCCUGCUUUUGUUGGGGCAUGUUUUGGUGCUGUCUGCUUCUGCUGCGUCGUCGACAAGUGCUGCUGCUGCUGGGAUUCGUCUGUCACACCUGACACAACGAUGAUCUCCGUUCACCGCUGAUAUGGCCCUUCAUAAUGUUAAUUUCUUUUAUAUAAACUUCUCCCCUUAUGUAUGGUUGUAGAUUAAGGGUAUUUGUCCAUGACCACGAGUGAUGUUAUAUGGAAACAAAUACUUGCACCCUCCCAAAUUAUGUUUUUGGCCUUCCUUGUUGCGCCGGAACUAACCCUCCGUUUGGGAGUUUUGGGAGGAAAAGAAAAAAAAAAAAACUUUAAUGAAGAGGGAAAAGAAAAGAAAGGACUAGAAUGGACUUUUCUCUCCUCUUGUUUGAGAGUUUUAGGAGGGAAGAGAAAGUACUUUUCUUCCUCUUGUUGGGGAGUUUGGAGAAAAAAGAAAAAAAAGCAUGCAUUUUUAA
Phoenix dactylifera (date palm) is the source of this 2818-nucleotide long non-coding RNA. RefSeq lists it as uncharacterized. NCBI's taxonomy places the organism in Eukaryota, Viridiplantae, Streptophyta, Magnoliopsida, Arecales, Arecaceae. The record is from RefSeq and is a predicted model, not a curated record.